This 407-nucleotide ribosomal RNA is filed under the name uncultured bacterium. Its description in RNAcentral is "partial 16S ribosomal RNA". It matches the Rfam family "Bacterial small subunit ribosomal RNA", at positions 29 to 526 of the family's 1533-position model. The record is from RNAcentral.
AAUGAACGCUGGCGGCAGGCCUAACACAUGCAAGUCGAGCGGAGCGGCGGACGGGGGAGUAAUGCCUAGGUAUCUGCCUGGUAGUGGGGGAUAAAGUCCGGAGACGGGCGCUAAUACCGCAUACUAUCAGAUGAGCCUAGGUAGGAUUAGCUAGUUGGUGGGGGAAAGGCCUACCAAGGCGACGAGCCGAAUCUGGUCUGAGUGGAUGAUCCGGCACACUGGAACUGAGACACGGUCCAGACUCCUACGGGAGGCAGCAGUGGGGAAUAUUGUGCAAUGGGCGAAAGCCUGAUCCAGCCAUGCCGCGUGUGUGAAGAAGGUCUUCGGAUUGUAAAGCACUUUAAGUUGGGAGGCGUUACCAACAGAAUAAGCACCGGCUAACUACGUGCCAGCAGCCGCGGUAAUUC